UAGGGAAUCUUCGGCAAUGGGGGCAACCCUGACCGAGCAACGCCGCGUGAGUGAAGAAGGUUUUCGGAUCGUAAAGCUCUGUUGUAAGAGAAGAACGUGUGUGAGAGUGGAAAGUUCACACAGUGACGGUAACUUACCAGAAAGGGACGGCUAGCUACGUGCCAC
RNAcentral lists this ribosomal RNA (165 nucleotides) under uncultured bacterium. Its description in RNAcentral is "partial 16S rRNA". It matches the Rfam family "Bacterial small subunit ribosomal RNA", at positions 355 to 511 of the family's 1533-position model. The record is from RNAcentral.